Molecule: long non-coding RNA, 5053 nt
Filed under: Populus trichocarpa (black cottonwood)
Lineage: Eukaryota; Viridiplantae; Streptophyta; Magnoliopsida; Malpighiales; Salicaceae
Description: long non-coding RNA (PTRI_LNC004704)
Source: RNAcentral
AUUGUUUGCCAUCAAUCUACUCUGAUGCAUAGCAGGUCUAUGGUAAAGUACUUUUGAAUGAAAUGCAAAAUGGUGUAUUGGCAUCUCUAGCAGCCGAUUACUGGAAUGCUUUCAUUUUCCAGUGUUGGAUAAAUGCAACUGAAUGAAUCAUUCCCCCUUCUACCCAUCUCCAAUGGUUUGGCCUAUUGCCCGGCAAAUUCCAUCUACGUGGGGGUGGGAGCUCCACUCGAUGCUGUUGCGGGUGAUUGGUAUUAAUCCGAUACUGUUUUUUACUGCUCUAGGUAACCUUAGAUCUUCUGUUAUGCUUGUAAGCAGUCUAAGGACUGGGAUGCAAAAUGUGAUAAAAUGGCCUUUACUAGUGACUUUGUCCGGGAAAUGCGAGUUUAUUUUUAUUUUUUCUUCCUGUCGAGUACUAUAUUUCUUACAUGCAACCAUGAUAAUCCCUAGUAAUCAAAGGUUGCCGUGACACAGUGAACUGGAAUUGAUUUCUGCUCCUUUUGUGGGUAAAAAGUACUAGAGGGAGAAACUUGUCCGCAAAUCCUGAACUGAAUAGAAAGGGGAGAGGAUGAUAUGAACGAUCGAUGGUUAAGUUGUGAGAAAAAUUGAUUACUUUUUACCUGUUAUGCAAACAAACGUGCAUUCAUACUUCGAUUAUCCAUGUUUAGUUUCAUGACACGUUUUCAGAUCAGAUCGGUCUACAAGCCUUCUUCUCAUGUCGGCCAGUAAUUCUGAUGUUAAUUACUUAUUUUAUCCCCAUAAAUGCCCCCUCUGAGAUCGAUUUACUAUGUUCUGUCUCCUUCACUCCUUUUUCCUUCCUUCUGGUUAAUGAUGGAUAAUUAUUUAACAUCACCAGUGGCCAAAAAAUCUAAAAACAUGGAGUAUAUAAGGAAAAUGUGAUAUAAAAAAACUAAAUUUGAGAAACCUUAACCUCAAAAGCACCACCGCCGUGUCUCGCGCACCUAAACAGCCACCCUCUUCCCUCUCAAUCUUGCGCUCGCCACACAGCCACCCUUUCGAAAUCGUUCAAUAACCAAAACAUUAACGAAUGAAAUGGAGUGGAAUCGAGGCGACUCGUCGAUGAGUUUGGGUAAGUUAUGGGGUGAGUCAGAUGAGUGGGUGGAGCGAGUUAAAUACUAACAUCACCAAUUUGGAUGGUCUCCAGGAGUGCUAAUGGAAAGUAAGCUCACAGACGAGCAAAAAUGGCAGAAGAAAAGUUAAAUCAGAGAGGGAGAGUAAGAGAGGGAGAUUUCCUGAAUUUCAAGCUCAUCAUUAAUUCAUCAUUUCAUAAUAUUCUCACGCCCAGACAAAUUCAGUUACAUGUAAUUUAGCCAUGAUAUUCCUUCUACACUAGCUGAUAACUAUCACGAAGUUAAUGUUCCAAGGCAAAUAAAGAACUGAAAGGAACAGAUAAAACGCUACGUAUGACAAACAAGCAAAACAAACAUGUAAAAAAAAAACAAAACAAAACAAAAAAAAAAAUACUAGUAUCUAACACUACUCUAAAAGGCAUGGGGCUUUCCCCACGCCUUUUAUUUUUCUUAUAUUAAUAUUUUUGUUUUUUUUUCUUUUCUCAUGAUUGUCUUUUUUUAAAAAAUAAAUUAUAUUUUUUUUUCAAAAUUAUUUUUGCUGAUUUUCUUUUAAUAUUGAAUUGGUUGAGAAUUUAGCUCUGUUAUUUAAAAAAAACAUUAUGGAUUGCUAUAAUGUUUCCCUGUAUGAUUUUUUUCUUUCUUUUUAUAAUUGUUUUUUUUUCCAAAAUGAUCAUUGUUGAUUUUUUUUUUCAUAUUGAGUUUGUUGAGAAUUUAGCUUUAUAGUUUUUUUAAAAAAAAACAUUGUAGAUUACUACAGUAUUUUCUCCACAUGGAUUUUGUUUUGGUACAAUAUUUCUCUAUGUUUUUUUUUCAAAAUUAUCUUUGUUGAAUAUUUUUUUUUUAAUAUUGAGUUGGUUGAGAAUUUAGCUUUAACUUUCCCUAAAUGUUUUUUCCCCCAGAAUUGUCUCUUUUUUUUUGUUUUUUUUGUGUUUUUUUCAUAAUUAUUUUUGUCAAUUUUAUUUUUUUAAUAUUGAGUUAGUUAAGAAUUUAGCUUUGUAGUUUUUUCUUUAAAACACUGUUGAUUGCUACAGUGUUUUUUCAUAUGAUUUUUUUUCUUUUUUCUUUGUUUUUUUUUCUAGAAUUGUUUUUGUCAAUUUUAGUUUUUUUCAUAUUAAGUUGGUUGAUAAUUUAGCUUUAUAGUUUUUUUCUUGAAAAAAAAACAUUGUGGAUUGCUAUAGUGUUUCUGCACAUGAUUUUUUCUUGAUACAGUGUUUCCCCACAUGUUUUUUUAUCGAUUUAUUUUCAAAAUUAUCUUUGUCGUAUUUAUAUUUUUCAUACUGAGCUGGUUGAAAAUUUAGCUUUAUAGUUUUUUUCUUUAAAACACCGUUGAUUGCUAAAGUGUUUCCCCACAUUUUUUUUUGUUAUAAUAUUUUUCAAAAUUAUCUUUAUCGAUUUUAUUAUUUUUAAUAUUGAGCUGGUUAAAAAUUACAACUGUAGAUUUUCUCAUGAAACACUAUAGAUUGCUACAGUGUUUCCUGCAUAGUUUUUUUUUCUUUUGUUUUUUUUAUGAUUUUUUCUAAAAUUAUCUUUAUUGAUUUUAGUUUUUUAAUAUUGAGUUGAUUGAAAAUUACAAUUGUAUAUUUCCUUACAAAACACUAUAGAUUGUUGUAGUGUUUCCUUACAUGAUUUUUUUUUUAUGAUUUGUUUUUAAAAUUAUUUUUGUUUAUUUUAUUUUUUUAAUAUUAAGCUGAUUGAGAAUUUAGCUUUUGUAGUUUAAUUUGUUUUUUGAAAAUAUUAUAAAUUGCAAUAAUAUUUUUUCCUAUAAUUAUUUUUUAAAAAAUUUUAUAAUUUGUUUUAUAAAUACAUGAGAAUGUGCAAGAAUACAUAAACCCGCGAAAACGCACGGGUAUAGCAACUAGUAAUGAAAAUAAAAGGCGUGGGAAAACUACAGUACUUUCCCACGCCUUUUAGAGUAUUGUUAAUAAUAAUAAUAAUAAAACAAGCCCAAAACUCUCCCCCUCCAACUCCUUCUAGAAAGCAAAAAGCAAAGAGAAUUCAAAGAGAUGAAGAAAUGGCUUCGUUUGCAGAAGCACCACCUGGCGAUUCGAAAGUCGGAGAGAAGAUCUUUAAGACCAAGUGUGCUCAGUGUCAUACCGUCGACAAGGGUGCCGGUCAUAAGCAAGGUAACUUUAUCGCCCCCCUCUUUUUGUUUUGAUCUUAUAUUUUCGAGGUCAAAUUGUCUUUUAUUUUGUUGAUUAUUAUGUUUUCAGCCCCAAUAAUUCGUAGAUCUAAUCUGUUUAGAUGGACAGAACUGUGGAGUUUUUUUUCUCUCUCUCUCUCUCUGAUGGGUUUAAGGUUUUUGCAAGAAAAUCAUGAUUUUGGUGAGAGGUGGAACUGGGUUUAGAAAUGGAUUUAAUUAAGCAAAGAUUAAAUUUAUGUGGGUUUCUUUCGGUGUUUUUUUGAAGUUUUAGGAUGAUAUUUAUAAUUUUGGAUUGGGAUUUGGGAUCUGGUUUUUAAUGAGUGAACAUUUUAGAUGGUCAAUUUCUUCUGAGAUUUGUGUUAAACUUAUUUGCUUGGUUCCUGUGUUUUUAAGGUUUUAAUUUGCUUCGACUGUUUAAAUGUUCAGGACCCAAUCUGAAUGGCUUGUUUGGAAGGCAGUCAGGAACAACUGCUGGAUACUCUUACUCUGCUGCUCACAAGAACAUGGCCGUCACGUGGGAGGAGAAGACUUUGUAUGAUUACUUGCUCAACCCCAAGAAGGUAUUAAUCAACUCUAAAGCAUAGUAUGACUUGGCAUGUAUGACAGGGCGUCUUUAACUGGUUAAGAAGUAUGGUUUAAACAUUGAGGUUUAGUGAUAAUUCUGUCAUGAUAGCUGAACUUAGUUGUUUUCUAUCAAUUUAUGACAUUGUUACUCAGCAUUUGGUAACUUAAGGUCCCGAAGAGAAACAUGCUGGACAAUAUGUUAGGUCUAGUAAUUAGGAAGGCUGGGUUAAAAAUUGAAGGACUUGCAAACAGAGAACAUGGAGCGUGUAGAUUAUUAUGUUUAGGCUUUGCUCUGAGAUCAAGGUUGAAUAAUCAAGGAAAGCGACCCCAUCAUUGAUGAUAUUUAUCCUAUGGUGUAUGAAAUGAACUUUCACAUUUCAUUUCAAUGUGAUAAGAUAGCCUAGCAUUUAUAGUUGGUAGAAUCAUCCGACUAUCUUAGAUACAGAUGAAGAACUCAUGUCUUGACACUGGUGUUUGUGCCUCUUAUACCAUGUUUAUUUUUGUUAGUUUGCGAUGCUGACCCGUAGUGAAAAUUGUUUGCGCAGUACAUCCCUGGAACAAAGAAGGAUUUCCCUGGAUUGAAGAAGCCACAGGAGCGUGCUGAUGUCAUUGCAUACUUGAAGCAGUCCACUGCAUCUUAAGCAUUUCACACUUCUGGCCUCCCCAUUUUGCAGUUGUUGGAGAUAUUGUUUUUUACCAAUAAAUAACCAUCCUAUACAAUGAGCAUUGCGUCGAAGCUCCUUCUAAGAGUUGCCAUAAUUAGCAAACUUAACAUUCGAUUCAUUUAGCUUACUGUGCCUCUAUUUUGCGAAUAUUUGGUGGAUUACCAAUGAACAGUUUGUUAAUGAUAGUUUUUGGUUUUGAUGAUAUUGCAUAUGAACAUUUCCAUGGUUGCUAUCGCUUGCCUUCAAUAUACUCUGAUGCAUAACAGGUCUACGGUAAUGUACCUUUGAAUGAAAUGCAAAAUGGUGUAUUGGCAUCUCUAGCAGGCGAACAUUGGAAUGCUUUCAUCUUCUAGUGUUGGAUAAAUGCAACUGAAUGAAUCAUUCCCCCUUCUACCCAUCUCCAAUGGUUUGGCCUAUUGCCCGGCGAAUUCCAUUUACGUGGGGGUGGGAGCUCCACUUGAUGCUGUUGCGGGUGAUUGGUAUUAAUCCGAUACUGUUUUUUACUGCUCUGGGUAACCUUAGAUCUUCUGUUAUGCUUGUAAGCAGUCUGAGAACUGGGAUGCAAAUGUGAUAAAGUGGCCUUUACUAGUGACUUU